UCUGCCUUAUCGGCAAGCGGUCUCACUAGAGUGCCCAACUGAAUGCUGGCAACUAGUGACAAGGGUUGCGCUCGUUGCGGGACUUAACCCAACAUCUCACGACACGAGCUGACGACAGCCAUGCAGCACCUGUCUCGACGUCCCGUAAGGGAACCCCUACUUUCAUAGGAUAGCGUCGGAAGUCAAGCCUAGGUAAGGUUCUUCGCGUUGCCUCGAAUUAAACCACAUACUCCACCGCUUGUGCGGGCCCCCGUCAAUUUCUUUGAGUUUUAAUCUUGCGACCGUAAUCCUCAGGCGGGGUACUUAAUGCGUUUGCUACGACACCGAGAGGGUAAGAACUCCCGACAUCUAGUACCCAUCGUUUACAGCGUGGACUAC
RNAcentral lists this unclassified non-coding RNA (378 nucleotides) under uncultured delta proteobacterium. RNAcentral describes it as "contains 16S-23S intergenic spacer region". The record is from RNAcentral. Lineage: Bacteria; Deltaproteobacteria.